Molecule: ribosomal RNA, 484 nt
Filed under: uncultured bacterium
Lineage: Bacteria
Description: partial 16S ribosomal RNA
Rfam family: Bacterial small subunit ribosomal RNA
Source: RNAcentral
AUUGAACGCUAGCGGGAUGCUUUACACAUGCAAGUCGAACGGCAGCGCGGACUUCGGUCUGGCGGCGAGUGGCGAACGGGUGAGUAAUGUAUCGGAACGUGCCCAGUAGCGGGGGAUAACUACGCGAAAGCGUAGCUAAUACCGCAUACGCCCUACGGGGGAAAGCAGGGGAUCGUAAGACCUUGCACUAUUGGAGCGGCCGAUAUCGGAUUAGCUAGUUGGUGAGGUAACGGCUCACCAAGGCGACGAUCCGUAGCUGGUUUGAGAGGACGACCAGCCACACUGGGACUGAGACACGGCCCAGACUCCUACGGGAGGCAGCAGUGGGGAAUUUUGGACAAUGGGGGCAACCCUGAUCCAGCCAUCCCGCGUGUGCGAUGAAGGCCUUCGGGUUGUAAAGCACUUUUGGCAGGAAAGAAACGUCGCGGGCUAAUACCCCGUGGAACUGACGGUACCUGCAGAAUAAGCACCGGCUAACCACGUG